UACGGAGGGUGCGAGCGUUGUUCGGAAUCACUGGGCGUAAAGGGCGUGUAGGCGGUCCGCUAAGUCUGAUGUGAAAGCCCGGGGCUCACCCCCGGAAGGGCAUUGGAAACUGACGGACUCGAGUCCCAAAGAGGAGGGUGGAAUUCCUGGUGUAGCGGUGAAAUGCGUAGAUAUCUGGAGGAAUACCGGUGGCGAAGGCGGCAUCCUGGACCGGCAUUGACGCUGAGGAGCGAAAGCUAGGGGAGCAAACGGG
Molecule: ribosomal RNA, 253 nt
Filed under: uncultured bacterium
Lineage: Bacteria
Description: partial 16S ribosomal RNA
Rfam family: Bacterial small subunit ribosomal RNA
Source: RNAcentral